CAAUUCAACAUAAUCUGAUUGUGUUAGAUUUUUGUAUUAUUGUAUAUUUUUAAUUAAUUAUUUAAAUUAUUUUAGUGUCUUUGUAUUAGGUAAGGAUUAGAUUUUUUAGGAGUUAUAAUAUUUGUACUGUAAAGGUUGACUGAAAUAAAUAUUUUUAUUGAUAAAGUUGAAUUAAGUUUUUGUACCUUGUGUAUCAGGGUUAAUUAAUAAAUGACAUAUUUAUGGUUUAUAUAUCUCGAUUUUGUUAGAGCUAAUUAAUUAUUUUAGUUAAUGUUUUAUAUUUAUUAAUAAUAGUUAUUUGGGGGUGAAAUGUUAUUCGUUAAUAAGGAUAUCUAGUUUCUUUGGAAAUAAAUUAAAUUUAGACUUUUCUUUAAUGGUUUAAUUAUUUAAAUUGUUUAAGAUGGGAUUAGUAAUUAGAGGGAUAAGCUUUUAAUUAGAUUAUUAUAAGUUAAGUAAUAUGAUGAAAUUUAGUGGAUUUAAUAUUGAUUAUUUAUGUGAAUAUAUUAAAAUUUUAUUUUGUUAUUAAUUUUAUUUGUAUUUUUCUUUAAUUAUUUACAAAGAUUUUAUAUUUAAUAAUAUUUUGUUUGGAAUAAUGGUUAAAUUAGUAUAAAGUGGUUGUAGAGAAUAAAAUUUGUUGGUUGGUAAUUGUAAGGAACUAGGCAAAAAGUGAAUAAAAUUGAGUUGUUCGCCUGUUUAACAAAAACAUCUUUUCUUGAAUUUAUAUGAAGUAUAACCUGCCCAAUGAAUGGUGUUGAAUGGCCGCGGUAUUUUGACCGUGCAAAGGUAGCAUAAUCAUUAGUCUUUUAAUUGGAGGCUGGAAUGAAUGGUUUGACGAAAUAACAACUGUCUUAUGAUUAUUGUAAUUGAAUUUAAUUAUUAAGUUAAAAAGCUUAAAUUUGUUUUUGGGACGAGAAGACCCUAUAGAGUUUAAAUAAUUAAUUAUAUUGGGUAAUGUUUGUUUAGGUGGUUAUAUGGUUAAUUAUUUGAUUGGGGUGAUUGAAAGAUAAAAUGUAACUCUUUUGUUUUAACUUUACAUUAAUUUGUGUAUUUUUGAUCCAUUUAUGUUGAUUAUAAGAUUAAAUUACCUUAGGGAUAACAGCGUAAUCUUUUUUGAGAGUUCUUAUCAACAAUAGGGAUUGCGACCUCGAUGUUGGAUUAGGAAAAAGCUUAGGUGUAGAAGCUUAAGUAUUAGGUCUGUUCGACCUUUAAAUUCUUACAUGAUCUGAGUUCAAACCGGUGUGAGCCAGGUUGGUUUCUAUCUAAUAUAGAUUUUAAUAUUUUAGUACGAAAGGACCGAAUAUUAGUAAUAAUUUCUUAUUAUUUGAAUUAUACUACUAUUUUGGCAGAAUAAGUGUAAUAGAUUUAGAAUCUA
Molecule: ribosomal RNA, 1372 nt
Filed under: Gyna caffrorum
Lineage: Eukaryota; Metazoa; Arthropoda; Insecta; Blattodea; Blaberidae
Description: 16S ribosomal RNA
Rfam family: Bacterial large subunit ribosomal RNA (bases 904-1262)
Source: RNAcentral